This 552-nucleotide long non-coding RNA is filed under the name Homo sapiens (human). RNAcentral's name for it is "HSALNT0385402". The record is from RNAcentral. Lineage: Eukaryota; Metazoa; Chordata; Mammalia; Primates; Hominidae.
AUUUCUCCUGGGAAACCUGCCUUUGUAUGUGGAAGUAUACCUGGCUUAUUAAAAUAUAUGUAUUUAAAAACAAAAAGCAACAGUAAUCUAUGUGUUUCUGUAACAAAUUGGGAUCUGUCUUGGCGUUAAACCACAUCAUGGACCAAAUGUGCCAUACUAAUGAUGAGCAUUUAGUACAAUUUGAGACUGAAAUUUAGUACACUAUGUUCUAGAUAGGUCACUCUAACAGUUUGCCUGCUGUAUUUAUAGUAACCAUUUUCCUCCAGACCGUUCAAGCAGAAAAGGUAACUAAUUGCUUCAUCUCCUUUUGUGCUUAUUUGGAAAUUUUAGUUACAGUGUUUAACUGGCAUGGAUUAAUAGAGUUGGAGUUUUAUUUUUAAGAAAAAUUCACAAGCUAACUUCCACUAAUCCAUUACCCUUUAUUUUAUUGAAAUGUAUAAUUAACUUAACUGAAGAAAGGGUUCUUCUUGGGAGUACGUUGUCGUAACAUUUACAGAUUUCCCUUCAUUUAAACUAAAUUACUGUUGUAUGUUGAUCUGCUGCAUAUUUCUG